UUAGCAACAACAAAAAUAAAAAAAGAGAGAGAUUGAGAGUCUCGACAGAAGAGAUGGAAAAAAGUUUCUGAUUAAAACACUAGGCAGACUCGAACGGCUCAAAAACAUGGAUAUUCUGUAAACAUGUACAAAUUAAGGAUAAGGCAAAUGAGUGAAAUUCCUUUGAAAAAGGUAAAAAAAAAAAAAGAGUGCGUACCUUGAAGCGCGAGGGAUGGACUGAGACAUUGAAGCGAAAGGAGCUGAAGUCGCUGUGGGUUUAAGGUUGAGGGACUUUUGAGUUAUGGUUUUAGAUAUGUUUUUUUGUUUCUUGAAAAUGAUUCAGUACACAGUUCUUCCUUUCCUUUUAUAAAAAUAAAUUGGCUGCUUUUUGCCUUUAGAAAACACACACACAAAUAAUAAAAACUGUACUUUAAUGAUUUGUGAUAUAUAACUAUUGUCUUUUUUUUUUUUCUUUUGACAACAAACGAAAAGAUUGACUUUAAGAAAGCCAAUGAAUGGGACAGUUGUUUACAAACUUAGCAGCAUACGGUAAGACUCGUACUUGACGAGCCAGAUUAUCCGCAACACUAUUCGCACUCCUUGGGAUGAGAGAAAGGGAAAAGGUUGAGAAUUCUUCCUUAUCAGCUUGGAUAUCGUUCAGGUAAACAGAGAAAGCCGGCCACUCUGAAGGAGAAGACACCAUCUUCACCAAAUCGGAACAGUCCGUCAAGAAAACAACAUCUCUGAAGUCGUGGCCAAUCAUACAUCUCAUGGCCCACACCAAAGCCUCCACUUCUGAAUGAAGAGGAGUGAGGCUUCGUCGGAGGUUAGAAGCCUUCAUAAAACUGGAACCAUCAUGAGCUUGCUGACAACACCAUCCUAUACCCGUAAACUUAUCUGUGUCUUUCCAAGAACCAUCAAUAAAACAUCUAUAACCGAAAGAGAUUGGCACAAGAGGCAGAACUCUGCCGAUUGUCCGGUGACCAUUACCCCGGGCCUCCACUACGACAUCUUGGUCUUCAACUUGUGCCUCCCGCCAAGCCUUUGUAAGUGCGGAUGAGGCAAUAAUAUAGUGCAGAAAAUAAAUGAGACACAAAGUUUGUUAACGAGGUUCGGUUUUUCCUACUCCCCGGGACCAAGUCCAGAUUUCGAUUUCACUAGAACAAGAAAGCAAAUACAACCAAUUUGCAAACGCGUAAAUCAAGCACACCCCUCUUGAACUACCGCUCUGAACUAUAACAUGAAACCUUAAGGAUAAAUCUCUAUCCUUAACUAAACUCCCCCUGAGUCUAGAUUUAACCAAGAU
This 1285-nucleotide long non-coding RNA is filed under the name Capsella rubella. Its description in RNAcentral is "long non-coding RNA (CRUB_LNC001583)". The record is from RNAcentral. Lineage: Eukaryota; Viridiplantae; Streptophyta; Magnoliopsida; Brassicales; Brassicaceae.